RNAcentral lists this ribosomal RNA (409 nucleotides) under Fusobacteriota bacterium. Its description in RNAcentral is "Fusobacteria bacterium partial 16S ribosomal RNA". It matches the Rfam family "Bacterial small subunit ribosomal RNA", at positions 355 to 776 of the family's 1533-position model. Lineage: Bacteria; Fusobacteriati; Fusobacteriota. The record is from RNAcentral.
UGGGGAAUAUUGCACAAUGGAGGGAACUCUGAUGCAGCAACGCCGCGUGCGGGAUGACGGCCUUCGGGUUGUAAACCGCUUUCAGCCAUGACGAAGCUUUUGUGACGGUAGUGGUAGAAGAAGCACCGGCUAACUACGGGCCAGCAGCCGCGGUGAUACGUAGGGUGCGAGCGUUGUCCGGAAUUAUUGGGCGUAAAGAGCUUGUAGGCGGUUUGUCGCGUCGAUAGUGUAAACACGCAGCUUAACUGUGUGCCUGCUGUCGAUACGGGCUGACUAGAGGAGGGUAGGGGAGAAUGGAAUUCCCGGUGGAGCGGUGGAAUGCGCAGAUAUCGGGAGGAACACCAGUGGCGAAGGCGGUUCUCUGGACCUUUCCUGACGCUGAGAAGCGAAAGCGUGGGUAGCAAACAGG